UCCUACGGGAGGCAGCAGUGGGGAAUAUUGCGCAAUGGGCGAAAGCCUGACGCAGCGACGCCGCGUGGGGGAUGAAGCUUCUCGGAGUGUAAACCCCUUUCGACCCGGACGAAUGACCCGCAAGGGUUUGACGGUACGGGUAUAAGAAGCCCCGGCUAACUACGUGCCAGCAGCCGCGGUAAUACGUAGGGGGCCAGCGUUGCUCGGAAUUACUGGGCGUAAAGGGUUCGUAGGUGGUGCGGUAAGUUGGGAGUGAAAUCUCUGGGCUUAACUCAGGGGCUGCUUUCAAAACUGCCGUGCUCGAGUGCGAGAGAGGUCAGUGGAAUUGCAGGUGUAGCGGUGAAAUGCGUAGAUAUCUGCAGGAACACCCGUGGCGAAGGCGGCUGACUGGAUCGCAACUGACACUGAGGAACGAAAGCUAGGGGAGCAAACAGGAUUAGAUACCCUGGUAGUCCUAGCCCUAAACCAUCGGAACUUGGGGUGGCCCGCGUAGGCGGGUCGUCCCGUAGCUAACGCGUUAAGUUCCGCGCCUGGGGAGUACGGUCGCAAGACUGAAACUCAAAGGAAUUGACGGGGGCCCGCACAAGCGGUGGAACAUGUGGUUCAAUUCGACGCAACGCGAAGAACCUUACCUGGGCUUGAACCGCUACGGACCAAGGGUAGAAAUAUCCUCUUCCCGCAAGGGACCGUAGUAGAGGUGCUGCAUGGCUGUCGUCAGCUCGUGCCGUGAGGUGUUGGGGUUUAAGUCCCGCAACGAGCGCAACCCUUACUCGUAGUUGCUA
RNAcentral lists this ribosomal RNA (782 nucleotides) under uncultured bacterium. RNAcentral describes it as "bacterial SSU rRNA". It matches the Rfam family "Bacterial small subunit ribosomal RNA", at positions 337 to 1120 of the family's 1533-position model. The record is from RNAcentral.